UUGCAGGCGUGGAGACUGAAGUCCUCUCUCUGUCCACAGAACAGGUACAGCCCAGGCAGCCAGCGGUACUGCGGCUCGCCACCCACCACCGUGCUUCAGUGCUGGCAAAGGGGCACCGUGUGGAGGGGAAGAGGGCUGCUCAGUCUCCAUGCCCUUCAAUCUCGGGCUGCU
Molecule: unclassified non-coding RNA, 171 nt
Organism: Ursus americanus (American black bear)
Lineage: Eukaryota; Metazoa; Chordata; Mammalia; Carnivora; Ursidae
Source: Ensembl